Zophobas morio is the source of this 411-nucleotide long non-coding RNA. RefSeq lists it as uncharacterized. Lineage: Eukaryota; Metazoa; Arthropoda; Insecta; Coleoptera; Tenebrionidae. The transcript has 3 exons. The record is from RefSeq and is a predicted model, not a curated record.
AAACGUAAAAAGGUUUAUAAAAGGAAUAAAGUAAAUAAAUGCCACAACCGGUUAAGUAGUAAACUUAAAGAUUUAGACCAAAUUUACGAAGAGGUUAACAACCCGAAAAUGUUUGAUUCUUUAGUACAACAACCUGUUGAUCCAGAUCUACCAGGAUUUGGACAAUUUUACUGCGUGCCUUGCGCCCGAUACUUUGUUGCAGAAAAUGUGCUUUCUUCUCAUGCCAAAAGUAAAGUACAUAAGAGAAGAAUUAAGCAACUGAAGGACAAACCAUAUACACAACAAGAAGCCGAGUUUGCCGCUGGGAUGACUUUAGAAAAUAACUCAAGGGAACACUGAUUAAGAAACUUGACCUAGUUUUGUGUUUUUAGUAGAAAUCAUACACUACAGUCCUAAAUGUGCAUAAAAUAA